This is a long non-coding RNA of Aplysia californica (California sea hare), 1149 nucleotides long. RefSeq lists it as uncharacterized. The transcript is spliced from 3 exons. Lineage: Eukaryota; Metazoa; Mollusca; Gastropoda; Aplysiida; Aplysiidae. The record is from RefSeq and is a predicted model, not a curated record.
AGCUGCAGAUGAGGGUGGUUCUCGCCCCUAGUUUGCCAGACGUUCUUCUUUGGUGCGGCUCGAGAUUUUCCUGCUCUCGGCUUGCUGGCCCCACAGAGAAUUUCCGUUUUUUCCACUUCUGUUCCCUGCCAAGAUUGUCAGUUGGUUUUCCUUGUCGCCCGGACCGCUUCCAGAAUGUCUGGAUCUCCAAACUGUGCGGUAUGGCAUAGACGGUUCUGAGGAAUAAUACACUCGUGGGAUUUCUUGGCUCAAAAUUUGAAGGUGUGAUGAUUCAUGUAGUAAACGUUUAAACGCAUAAUAACGACAGCGUGUUUUUUCUGUAACCUUAAUCAUUGUUCAAAUUUCAAGCAAUGAGAACAAUUGCUUAGAUGGUCAUUGAACAGGCCAGUAUAAUACUGUGAGCGGACUUUUGAAGUUAAAGGACUACAUAGUUUUAAUCAACAUCAGUAUAAUUCAAGAUCAUGAGAGUAGGUGUGAAUUCUCAGAAAACGAUGAAAUGCUACUAUACUCCUCUAUACAUUACUGAAUAGGCUUCUUUUUUCGUCAGUGAUAGCAGUCUCACGCCACAUCUAAUAGGUUAUAGAAACAAAUAGCCUUGGUGAGUAUAGCCAAGCAAAAGUCUCGUUAUUACACACUUUUGUGUCUAAAUACUGUCACCUUUUGACAUGAAUACUUCUUCUUACAUAAUUAUACACAAGAGAGUCAUUUGGCUCCCUUUCUGCGAUGACAUGGGCUUCAAAACUGAACCUCCAGGAUAAACGAUGAGUUGAUUUCUCCUGUCAUUCCUGAGUACAGGUCCUUGAACUGGCACAAUAACAACAUUGGAUACUUACCGGAUGUGACGUGUAUCAAAAGGAGGACAGUGACUACUCGAAAGGUGGAGUAAAAUGUUGAGGAAAAGGAUCAGAAUUCUGCUGAUGGCUUAAGAAGUUCCACUUUUGCAGAUUCUAGGCUACUAUAAACUGUAGCAAGUUCCAGUUCCACGGAGCCUGCCGACCGCCGGGCUGGAGUGUGUGGGGCUCGCCAUUCGCCAUCACGCCCAGAUGCGGACGGGGGAUGAGAAGCCUCAUCUCAGGGCAGCCAGUCAGUAUUAUGUCGUUAUGUUGAGUCAUUUUUUCACACUCCCCUUUUUUUCUUAUUUGUACAAUU